CCUACGGGAGGCAGCAGUGGGGAAUAUUGCGCAAUGGGCGAAAGCCUGACGCAGCAACGCCGCGUGCGGGAUGACGGCCUUCGGGUUGUAAACCGCUUUCAGCAGGGACGCGGUACCUGCAGAAGAAGCACCGGCUAACUACGUGCCAGCAGCCGCGGUGAUACGUAGGGUGCGAGCGUUGUCCGGAAUUAUUGGGCGUAAAGAGCUUGUAGGCGGUUUGUUGCGUCGGAAGUGAAAACUCAGGGCUUAACCCUGAGCCUGCUUUCGAUACGGGCAGACUUGAGGGAUGUAGGGGAGAACGGAAUUCCUGGUGGAGCGGUGGAAUGCGCAGAUAUCAGGAGGAACACCGGUGGCGAAGGCGGUUCUCUGAAUUUCCUGACGCUGAGAAGCGAAAGCGUGGGGAGCAAACAGGCUUAGAUACCCUUGUAGUC
This 431-nucleotide ribosomal RNA is filed under the name uncultured bacterium. Its description in RNAcentral is "partial 16S ribosomal RNA". It matches the Rfam family "Bacterial small subunit ribosomal RNA", at positions 338 to 795 of the family's 1533-position model. The record is from RNAcentral.